CGAGUGGCGCACGGGUGAGUAACGCGUACACAACCUGCCCUUAAGUGGGGUAUAACCCUGGGAAACUGGGAAUAAUACCGCAUAACAUUGUGAAUUCGCAUGGAUUUACAAUUAAAGCUGAGGCGCUUAAGGAUGGGUGUGCGUUCCAUUAGCUAGUUGGUGAGGUAAAGGCUCACCAAGGCGACGAUGGGUAGGGGGCGUGAGAGCGUGAUCCCCCACACAGGUACUGAGACACGGACCCG
This 242-nucleotide ribosomal RNA is filed under the name uncultured bacterium. RNAcentral describes it as "partial 16S ribosomal RNA". It matches the Rfam family "Bacterial small subunit ribosomal RNA", at positions 92 to 334 of the family's 1533-position model. The record is from RNAcentral.